Molecule: ribosomal RNA, 447 nt
Filed under: uncultured bacterium
Lineage: Bacteria
Description: partial 16S ribosomal RNA
Rfam family: Bacterial small subunit ribosomal RNA
Source: RNAcentral
AGUGAACGCUGGCGGCAGGCUUAACACAUGCAAGUCGAACGCACCGCAAGGUGAGUGGCAGACGGGUGAGUAACGCGUGGGAACCUUCCCUUUGGUUCAGGAUAGCUCCGGGGAACUGGAAUUAAUACUGGAUAAGAUCUACGGAUGAAAGAUUUAUCGCCGAAGGAUGGGCCCGCGUAAGAUUAGCUAGUUGGUGAGGUAAUGGCUCACCAAGGCAAUGAUCUUUAGCUGGUCUGAGAGGAUGAUCAGCCACACUGGAACUGAGACACGGUCCAGACUCCUACGGGAGGCAGCAGUGAGGAAUAUUGGACAAUGGGCGCAAGCCUGAUCCAGCCAUGCCGCGUGAGUGAUGAAGGCCUUAGGGUUGUAAAACUCUUUUAGUAGGGAAAAUAAUGAUGGUACCUACAGAAAAAGCUCCGGCUAACUUCGUGCCAGCCGCCGCCGUAA